AGUAUAGGAAAAUCUAAUGAAUAUGAUGAGCCUAGUAAUCCUAAUCAAAUAUAUUAGAAAAUCUAUUAAUUUUCACAUGUUUAUUUAUAAAUAGAUUUUAUAUUUUGCAUACCUAAUAAAUUUACUAACAAUUCGCACCGACUCGAUCGAUUUGUAAGUUCCUUAUUAACAGGCUCACACUUGUCAGCCUGCUUGGAAAGCACAAAUUUGUGUCUAACAUCAGCAACAGCUGUGAUGGAUUUAGAUCCUGAGUAUUUGUCCAGAUAUUCGAGGUCCAGCUUCAAUAUCGCGCAUCUGAGUGUAGUGUGUCUAGGCUGCUGCUGUCGUAGAAAAAAAAACACGAGACAUAUGUGGACCCGUACGAUUCCGGAAGAAAACUAUUUACUUUGGUCAGGAAACCAAUAAAUGGCCAUAAAACAAAUGAAAAAUAAAAGCACCUAACACAAGCGAUGAAGCUCAACAAAGUACGUCAGAUGCAAGGGAAAACUCCACCAUCCGGCCGGACAAACACCUGAGCAGAAUCUACAAACAGGAUGAACACCGGUACAGAACAACCAGCACCAUGCAGUUUAUCAACAACAGCAGCAGUAAACAUCACUCUGGCGGAAGAAAACACCAUCAGUCUGCUAGUUCCUCAGCGACGGAUACAUCCAGACACCAUGCAGCUACCACCGAUCAUACCGCCUACGCCAUCAUCACCACCAGAGGCAACAGCAGCAUAACAUCGGACAUCCGCCGGAAGCGUUCCAUCGCAGCACUACCUGCUUUCCGAUGGAAGAGACCAUCAACGCAGCAGCAUCUACCUUUUCAUCCUCACCACAAGAAGUGAACCAGCUCAGCAGCAGCCGCGGCCGCGGAAUCAGCAUUUCUUCUCCCAAAACGGAAGCGCACCAGGCGGCGGAAGUGGCUCAGGCGGGUCACAAUGGAACAGUGGAAUUGAUGUUGGUUCUAGUGUGUUCAUUAUGAUCUAAUCUGUCCAACCCAUGAGUGAACAUAUGCAACAGCCCACAGCCCUGAAAAAGGACGAUCAACCUUUUAAUAUAACAGCCAGAAUAAAAAAAUAAUCCCUGAAAAUCUUCUGAAACGACGAAGUGGAACAUUUGUUUUUAUCACGGCGGAACCAGAGGAGUCAGCGUUAGAAACAGCAACUAAUUAGUCAGCAUCUUUAGAAUUCAGAAUUGCAUCCGUGGCCCAGAUUCCAGUCAUGAGGGCCUUGGAGGUAAAAAUCACAUUCUGAAAGCAUACAUCUGGUUCUCGAACUGCCGGAAUUCAGUGAAGAGUUGUUAUCCGUAAGUAAUUCGUAGUGUCCGGCCAUAGACAACACUUUUGGAAAUGAGUGAAAAUUAACAUAAAAUUAUUUCUCUUACCUCAUGAAUAUGUUGCAAAUUAUUUUUUUUCCUGUAUAGUUAAGUGAUCAUAAUAUUGAUAUUCUCCAAAUCAGUAGAAAAGCCAAUAUUUACAAAAAAAUAUUUUUGAAGUUAUUGCUUAAAAACCUUAAGUGUCCGGUAGUAGAAAACUUCCCCCUACAUACUGUCUAUUAGUAAAAAUACGGUCGACUUAUAGA
This is a long non-coding RNA of Uranotaenia lowii, 1564 nucleotides long. RefSeq lists it as uncharacterized. The record is from RefSeq and is a predicted model, not a curated record. The transcript has 4 exons. Lineage: Eukaryota; Metazoa; Arthropoda; Insecta; Diptera; Culicidae.